Molecule: non-coding RNA, 296 nt
Organism: Pelobates cultripes (western spadefoot toad)
Lineage: Eukaryota; Metazoa; Chordata; Amphibia; Anura; Pelobatidae
Source: the annotation of a GenBank genome assembly
CUUCUGUCAGGAUGGACCAUUACUUCUCAAACUUUUUGUGGGUAGCAAAACCAAAGCGGUUUACUGAAACCUAGAAAAAUAAAACCUGCUAAUUGUUGAGAGACCAAGUAAUUUAGUAAAUGUUUAAAUAGCCUUGUGCCAUGCAGGUGGACACCAUGGAGUGGUGGGGAUGGUUUUAUUCACUCUCCGCCACUUUGAUCGCCAAUGACUUGUCCAGAUGCUGCUGUACCACUACAGAUCCAUGUUGCCAAGUUGGAAAGCUGGAAUGAAGACAUAAAAGGAAAAAGAGAAAAAAC